AGCAGCCGCGGUAAUUCCAGCUCCAAUAGCGUAUAUUAAAGUUGUUGCAGUUAAAAAGCUCGUAGUUGAAUUUCGGGAUCAAUAUGUUGGUCGUGCCUUGGUACGUACUGGCAUUAUUGGUUUCUACCUUCUGAAGAACUUCGAUGUCAUUAAUUUGGUGUCUUGGGGAAUCAGGACUGUUACUUUGAAAAAAUUAGAGUGUUUAAAGCAGGCUCGCGCUUGAAUACAUUAGCAUGGAAUAAUGAAAUAGGACGUUUGAUUCUAUUUUGUUGGUUUCUAGGAUUGACGUAAUGAUUAAUAGGGAUAGUUGGGGGCAUUAGUAUUCAAUUGUCAGAGGUGAAAUUCUUGGAUUUAUUGAAGACUAACUACUGCGAAAGCAUUUGCCAAGGAUGUUUUCAUUAAUCAAGAACGAAAGUUAGGGGAUCGAAGACGAUCAGAUACCGUCGUAGUCUUAACCAUAAACUAUGCCGACUAGGGAUCGGAUGAUGUUAAUUUUUUAAUGACUCAUUCGGCGCCUUACG
RNAcentral lists this ribosomal RNA (521 nucleotides) under uncultured Glomeraceae. Its description in RNAcentral is "SSU rRNA". It matches the Rfam family "Eukaryotic small subunit ribosomal RNA", at positions 569 to 1092 of the family's 1831-position model. The record is from RNAcentral. Lineage: Eukaryota; Fungi; Glomeromycota; Glomeromycetes; Glomerales; Glomeraceae.